This 8794-nucleotide long non-coding RNA is filed under the name Brachypodium distachyon (stiff brome). RNAcentral describes it as "long non-coding RNA (BDIS_LNC005025)". Lineage: Eukaryota; Viridiplantae; Streptophyta; Magnoliopsida; Poales; Poaceae. The record is from RNAcentral.
CUAGGAAAACAUUCAGGACACAUAAAUAGUCCACGGUCCAGACACUGCUACCAGUAAAAGCACCAGGUCAAAGAUAGCAUCAAAACCACACAGCUGAGGCCUGGGAGCAGUCCUCAUCACAAUUAGAACACGGUUUCACUCCUUGGCGUCAUUUUCAGGAAACUGCAGAAGAACGCAUGGGUUCACAUUUGGAUCUUCUACAAGCCCUCCUCUUUAUCAUCAGUCUCUCAAUUUGCCAAUGCAGAAAUCCUCAAUUAUACCGAAGACUCUCGUGCCAUGUUGGGGUCUGAAAGUGCGUCGUGUUAAUACAUUUACUUCAGCCAGAAAAAAAAAACAGAAUGUACAAAGGCUGUUAAAGUGAAUACUAGAAAAUACUAAUGGUAAAAUCAGAUGUAGCCCUGUUAAAUCAGGAUAGCAAAACGUUGUUGUUUAAAAUUAUAAUUUAUCAAAGACUCUAGUGCCAUGUUGUGGGCUGAAAGCGCGUCGAGUUAAUACAUUUAUCUAAGCUAGAAAAUAGAAACAGCCCAAACAAUGAAAGUGAUUAAUAGAACAGAAGUACUAAUAGCAAAAUCAGAAGUAGCUCUCCCUGACAAAACUAUUAGGAUAAUAAACGUCCCCGUCAGGAUAAGAAAAAUACACAUCAAUGUUGUUUAAAAGGUUGCCCUUUAGAGCAUCCAUCUGUGCACAAAAUUGUCAAUUUAUUCAUGCAAAUAUUUUAUGUAUUAUUUUGGAUAACAGAAACACAUGUCCUACGGUGUCAAGGAUAUGGGCCAAGAAUGGCUUUCAGGUUCAGCACACAGACAGUUACAGUGGUAAAAAAAAAAUUCGUGAGCAGUUCCAAAACUAAAAAAUCACUGCACCAUAACUUCGGAAUGGGCCAGCAAUAGCAAAUCAUUUAGAGAAACAAUGAGAGCCUGAUCACCUUUGCAAGUUGUUGUAAUUGGAAAACUCGAAAUAUCCUUUGAUAAAUGUUAGUUGGUUAACUAAGUAAUGCAAUGUCCAUUCAAAAUUUAAAAUGGGUUAAGAAGUUCCAUGAGUCUAACACUUUAAAUUACAGAAUUACUACCUGACAAGAAGAUUACUAAUGGAUCUGUUGGUUAGUUUAACCUUAAAAGGAGCAGCAAGUUAAAGCCGGACAGUCGGGUGAUACAUGGUAAAUCAGCAACACAAUCAUGAAUCAUGGUUAAAGAAAACUUACUAGAAAAGUAUUGACAUAAUGAUGUAAUAUGUAUAAAUGAGACGUUACAAACCCAAAAAAUCCCUCUGUUGAAUUACUGCCACUCUGCCAGCAUUGUUUAGAAUGGCAUUACCACCUGGAUGCUCCUCCACAUAUGGAGUUACAUCAUAUACCUGGAUCAAUCACAAAUAGGAUGAAUGAUGAGAAUAUACGUUUUCCAAUUUCAAACUACUCAAUAAUGUGAGACGAUGGCAGUUGGUAAACAGGCAGAUUCUUUUGUUUCUAACCUUUUUCUUGAUUAUGAUCCAACAAUCUUUUCUUGUGUUGUGAGUUGAUACCUCUUUCUUUGAAUAGCUCCUAGAUGUCUGAAUUUGAAGCAGCAGUAAGCACAUAAUGAGUUGGCCUCGAAUUUUGGAUUAACCUGAACAAUCCUGUCUUUUGAUCACCACUCUAAAGCAUCAGACAUCUGCUAAACAUAAAAAUAGUAUGUUUUCUUAACAAAAUUGUAUGUUAAAUAAGCACAUUUUGGAUUAAGCUGGAACAAUCUUGUCCUUAAAUUAUCAAAAGUAAAGAAUUUACUCUAAAUCAUCAUGGGAUUGUUCAAGAAAAAGUGCUCGUUAAAAGUAUACUUUGGUGCAUUAGAGAAAACUACACUAUUGAAAUAUGGACAUUAUGGAGGAUGAAAUGCACCGUUUCAACCCCCCCUGAAUGUGUUUCCUUUCCUUUACCUGCAUUACGACAUUUACUCAGCAGUCAGUUCCAAUAAAUUUUAAUAGACUUCGCUUAAGAUUAGAGUGUCACACCCUUUUUUACCUUUGAUGUUGGAUCGUGGGAUAACAAAGAGUGUCCCCAGCACAAGGAGCAAAAGAAGUGAGAUAACGAUGAUAAUUUCCAUUGCGCGUGCACACCAGGAACUAGUGGUCUGCACUGCAAAACAAAAUUGGUUUCAGUGAGCAAUAAUUACAGGCAGCAGACAUGAUAACGAUGACUGGGAGAAAUAAUACAAAGAUCUCAAUCUUUACAAUUUUUAUAGUAAAUCUAAUGAGUUACAGGGUUACUGGCUCACUGAGUCUCUUUUUUGGAUAAAGGAGAUCUUCCAUUCCAAUUCAGUAGGAUUACGGUCAUGAUGCAGACAGUUACAGAUAUAGCUUGGGAAGGAGCUCAGCCAGCGAGGUCCCCUGUUUAGCAUUAGCCCCAUGUUUUGCACACAAAUGAGCUGCUACAUUAGCAGUUCUGUGGACAGAUUGCGAAAAACAAGUAAAAACCCUACAAAUCUCCUUGAUUUCACCAAGAAUUGAAGCCACUUGGGAACGAGAGAAGUUAUCUUCCUGCCACAUCUUGGUUAGCACCUGGGAGUCGCUCUCCAGCACGAUCCUUUGGAUUCCGGAACUGAAGCUCACUGACACACUGUCACUGUGUCCACAGUUCACUAAACUCCGAGAAAACACAAGAAAAUUAAUCGACAUUGCAUAGUUGCCGCAGCCUAGAUUGUUCUAGAGGGCGGAUCUAGAUGGUGUGCUGGGUGGGUGUGCACCGGCACAUCCAGAAAUUGCGAAGGUCAGUGGGAUUUAACUAAUCCCUGGAUGCAAACAACCUCAUACCUCGACCCUAAAUGCCCAAAUCUCAUACCUCAAACCCUAAUGCCCAAAUACUGUGGACGGAGUGGAGACAGCACGGAUGAGAUAUCGCGAUGAGAAUGAACUGGAGGACGAUGGCAGCCACGCGCGUCAGAGGCGGAGGGGUUGAAGAUCGGGGAGCGACGGGCAGGAUCGAGAGACGCGCGCAGGUGAGGAAAACAGAAAGGAACGGCAGAAAGUGGAGCGGGAUUUGUCCAAGCUAUCUUCGCUCAAAGUAAACCGAGACGGCAAAGACUGAACGGGAUCAGACCUGAGGUAACAGGUCUUGGUUUGGUAGUAGCAUAGUUAAACCGUAACUGCACAAAUAGCCUGAGCAGCGAGCCUCCUCUCCAACCAGAGGUACCAGCAUUAUCAGAAGGACAGACUUCUUAGUUCAACCACAACACCAAACCAACUUUUGAUCUUUCAUUGUUUUUUUCUUUUCUUUUCUGGGAUACUUGAUCUUUGAUUGUGAACACCCUGCAUAUAUGGUUGCACCGCCUCGAUGACCGCCCUGCAAUCAGUUUCCGGUGGAUCGACGCUCGACGUAUCCCGUCCCUGCAAGCAAACAUUUCGGCUUCCAUGGCACAGCCAGCAGCAGCUGAUAUGUUCUGCUUAGAAUCUGAAGAAAUGAACCAACGAAGUGCAAACUAGAACCAACUGAACCGGCACGUUCAUCAAUAUAUAAGAAGGGAACAAAACGCAGUAAUGGAUAAUUGUACAAUCACAUAUAACUCGGACAAUGCCAGAAAUGAACCGAUAGAAAGAAAAGAAAAAGAUUCAACACACAGAAAUAUACUAGCAACUAAACAGUACGCAUUGACUAACAUGAAAACAAGACAUCGUGCUAAGAAGAAUUAAUGCGUGGACCCGAAAUGCUCAGCCAUUGCCCGAAUGUUCUCCAGUAGAGCUAGUGGCGUCGUUCUGAUCCGCCGCGGCUGCACUCGGCCUUGUAGCACCCCCGGUGUCGGCAGCAGUAGCGAAAGAAUGGCUCUUCGCCGAACCUAUCAUCUGGUCACUUUUGGACGAACGCCCCCCUGUGGUGGCGCUACUCCCAGCCCCAGUUGACGACGACAUGUAGGAGCUCCAUCCGUGCACUGCGUGUGGCCGCGCGUAUGUCGCCACAGGCAUCUCCGGUGGCAGGUCCGGAAGCUGCGCCUCGCACCGGAGCACGUUCAGGGCUUGUCGAAUGGACGGCCGGAAGCCGUAGUCUGGGUGCACGCACCAAAGGCCCACCACCAGCACCCGCUCCAUCUCUUGCGCGUCGAAGCCGCCGUCGAGCCGUGCAUCCACCGCGUCCAAGAGCAUCUUUCGCCCGUGGAGCGCCCAGACCCAAUCCACGAGCACGACCUUGCUCUCGUCCCUGUGCUCGAUGACGGGCCUACGACCACAAGCGAUCUCCAGCAGGACGACCCCAAAGCUGUAGACAUCUGACUCGGUGGUGGCCCUUCCGCUGUACACGUACUCCGGAUCCAUGUAGCCCCUGGUGCCGGCAACCUGCGCCGUUGUGAACCCACCGCGGCUGUGAUCGACGAGCCUUGCGAGCCCGAAGUCUCCUAGCUUGGCGUUGAAAGAUGAAUCCAGCAUCACGUUGCUCGGCUUGAUGUCCCUGUGCAAGACACACUGCUCGCAUUCCUGGUGGAGGUAAAACAGAGCAGAGCCCAUGCCGAGAAUGAUCUUGUACCUAGCACACGAUCGAGUAGUAUAUAUUAGGCCUGAUCUGUAAAAACAAUUUCUGUUUAAUUGCUGAAUAAUGGAUACCUGGUUGGCCAUGCUAGGACUUGUUUGGAAUUGUAGAGAUGGACGUCAAGGCUGCGGUUCUCCAUCAACUCGUAGACGAGCAGGAACUCAUCUGAUUUAUGGCACCACCCGACAAGGUUGACGAGAUUGCGAUGCCUCAGCCUUCCGAUGAUGGUCACCUCUGCGAUGUACUCUCUCCUUCCUUGGCGCGACGUCUCGGAGACCUUCUUGAUGGCCACAUGGAGCACCUGCUCUUGCAAGAACCCUCGGUAGACUGCUCCGAACCCGCCCCCGCCCAGCUUCUCCUUUUCGGAGAAUCCCUGUGUCGCCUGUGAGAGCUCGGUGUAACUAAAUUUUCGAGGGCCGCACAUCUCGAACUCCUCGUCCAUGUCUUGGUCAAGGUGGAUCUCUGCAUCUUCUAAUUGCAUGCCCUUCCUUUUAUGAUAUUGGAGGUAGCCGACCCAUGCGGCUAUUGCGAGCAAUAUGAAGACACCACCGGAUACUAGCCCGGCUACGAGACCUAUGUUUUUGGUCGUUGUGUCUGUCCAUAAACACAUCAAGUUAAUUAGUAAAUUUUAUCCACUCAGUAGAUUGUCGCAAAAAAAAAAAGAAUUUGUGAUGGAACGAUAACAGAUCGAUACAGAUUUUCUCCCCAGGAAAAUAUAUAUGUGUGUGAUACAUGUCACCAAAGCGAUAUCAGGGGAUUCGCGCUGCAAGGGCAACCGCCGUUCCCGCCGUAUUUGACAGCAGUUCAAGUCAAUCAAACGGCAAAAUUAAACAAGCUAAGCACAGGCCGAAGCCACUUACCGGUCAUAGUGGACUCGAAUGACCAAGCAAGAAUCUGGUGCAGCUCGCUGGAAUUCCCGGUGGCCGCCGAGAACCCGACCGCCGCGUCCUGCGGCAGACCGGCCUCCCGCAGGUCAACGUUGGCGCUGACGGUGACAGGACCCUGCCGCGGUGGGUCGACGAACCACAGGGUGGCGGAGAGCGUGGCCGCUUUGGCAUCGUACCUGACCAACGCCGACAUGAUCCCGUUCAAGCUCCCGCUCGUAAGGUUUUCGUACUUGAUGGACCUGAUGUCAUUGACGUCGAUGCCGAUGUGGUCGAUGAUGGGACUUGGAGGGUCCCAACCGUCGUUCCUGUUGGUGUCCAACUCCACGGCGACGGUCCGCGGGAGAGUGUUGGCCGAGUUGUUGGGGUUGUUGAACAGGGCCAGGAACCCGCCCCUCGCGUCCUGCGGCAUCUCCACCGGCAUCUCCCGCGGGCUCGUAGUAUACGGCGCCACGAAGAACGCCAUCCCAUCGCCCCGCGGCCGGCCGUCGCUGGACUCGACGAUGGCGAAGGUGAAGCUGCUGGUGAAGCUGGCGACGUACUUCUUGUCCUCCCAGAGACGCACCGGUUGCAUGUGUGCUACGCGCCCGGUACUCCACGACCUCGAGGUGUUCGUCAGCUCGAUCCGAUCCGUGGCGGCGGCAGAGUCCUCCAUGUACUUGAGGAUGCCAGCGUCUGUGAGGACACCGGCGUCGGCGCCGGAGAAGUUGUAGUUGAAGCUAAGCGAGGUGGCACAGGGAAAUAUUACCAGGAGGAGCAAGCAGGGGAAGCUGAGGCCGAGAAGGCAACUCGAUGUCUUCAUCUCCAUGGCCUUGUGUGCAAAUUAAGGCAAGCUCUUGGUUAGGAACGUGUUAAAUUAAUGUCCAGGCUAUAUGUCUACAUAUAUAAUGAGCCAGCUGCCGUACUAGUCUUCUCACUGGUCUCGUCUACAGUCCACUCUCGUCGUCGAUAACUGUUCAGGCAAAGCUUUCUUAAUUGAUCGGCCUUCUGAUCUUCCCCGUUCCACGAAUGCCACUUUAAGCGCUAGGUAUUGUCUGAUGUUAGAGUGAUCUUCCAUCCGUGUGGGCCCAACGGCCCAUCGGGUUUAGAUCUGAUGCGCCCUGAUCGGGGUCGCCCAACCCAAUAUGUUGGCGAGCCCCUGUCACGCUACGCUAUAUGAAGAGGUGGGGGCCGGGCACGCACUACGAGGUUCCUCUGCGUAGCCGUCACCCCACCGACACACAUAACCCGAUCUAAAGGAUAGGCGCAGACAGCGACGGGAAGCCCCGCCACUGCUUCAUCCGACGCCGGUAGUCGCUCCCUCCACGCCGACCAUGACAACCACGCCGGGAUCCUCUAGCCAAGGAGAAGGUACUCUCUCCCCUCUCUCUCUCUCUAUCUAUCUAUAUCCCGAACCAAGGUUAUUCACAGAAAAGCUAUCCCUACCCCGGUUGAUCUACACUAGAUGUUCCUAGGAUACUAACAUUGGUAUCAGAGCGAAUUAAAAGUUGUAGAUCUGCUCGGGAUAGAAAAAAAAAGAAAAAAACAGAAGAAAAGCAAAAAGAGAGACUAACCCUAACCCUAACAGUCUUACCCGAGGAUGGCACCGCCGAGGUUCUCGCCGCCGGUCGCCGUUGCUUGGCGUCACUGGGAAAGGGCGCCACCGCCGACCCCUUGACGACGCCGCAUGCACCGCCGGGUGCACGCGCUCGCCGGCAAGAGGCCAGCGAUGCCGCCAUCUUUGACAGUGCCAUGGGCGCCGUCAAGGAACAGAGGGGGUUGGGGGAGAAAAGCCGCCGGGGCGGGCUCGCCGUCGCCGGCGGGCGGCCGAAAGGCGCGGGCGCCGCCGCCAGAGGAGAGGAAGGAGGCGCUAGGGUUUCAAUCGAAACCCUAGGGUUCCAGCCACCCCGUUUUAAGCGGGCUAAAGUGGCGGCGGGCCGCCCUGAACGGUUCAGAUCGAACCUGGCGCGGGCGUGGGCCGUGGGCCGCGGGCCGCGUGCGCUAAAGCAGGCCGCGAGGGCGCUGGCUGGGCCGUGGGCCGCGCGCGGCAGCCCAGCGCGAGAGCAGGCUGGCGUCGGGCCAGAGAGAAUAGGCCGUGGGCAGCGUGCGCCAUGGGCCGGGGGCUGCGCCAGCCGAAAGACUUACUGUUUAAGUUCAGAUUUUGCACGAAUUUUGGUCUAAUUUUUCCUCCUAUUCAAAUUGAACCAACGAGUUGUUUGUUUUAGAAAAUAGUAAAGUGCAAAAUGAUGCUUCCGAAAAAUAUGAAGUUAUGAAUGUUGUUCAUAGUUUCCGCUGCAAAUAGUUUAAAAGUGUUGUUUAAAUAUGAAAAGAACAUGAUUGAAAGUGUUUUAUGUUAAUUGUGAUUCUGUAUUGAUGAGAUAUUCUCUAUGCUAUAACUACUUUUAGGGAUGAAUUGAGAGCUUCUGUAAGGGUGUAACCGUCCAACUCAAUAAUCAGCAACCAUUAGGCUUUCGCUCUUCUCUUGUCUUGUGCAAUGUCCCAGAUACACCUGACCAAAUUUAUCAAUAGAAUGCCUCUUGCUAUUGUGCGCGUCACUAUUACUUCAUGAACAGAAGUAUGAGCCAGAUGAAAGUUUAGACGUGUCCCCUUAAGCCCAACUGUGUGAAAUUCUCAGACCUGACCAUGGGAAAACUUGACCAAGCAAACCUUUUCAUCAUCAUGAUUGAAAUUCAUAUGGAAGUUGGCACAAUUCGUUGUCCGCUCUCAGAAAGUUCCAUAAAUCCAAGGCAAGAUAUCUUCAGAUAAAUCUAGGAAAACAUUCAGGACACAUAAAUAGUCCACGGUCCAGAGACUGCUACCAGUAAAAGCACCAGGUCAAAGAUAGCAUCAGAACCACACAGCUGAGGCCUGGGAGCAGUCCUCAUCACAAUUAGAACACGGUUUCACUCCUUGGCGUCAUUUUCAGGAAACUGCAGAAGAACGCAUGGGUUCACAUUUGGAUCUUCUACAAGCCCUCCUCUUUAUCAUCAGUCUCUCAAUUUGCCAAUGCAGAAAUCCUCAAUUAUACCGAAGACUCUCGUGCCAUGUUGGGGUCUGAAAGUGCGUCGAGUUAAUACAUUUACGUCAGCCAGAAAAAAAAACAGAAGGUACGAAGGCUGUUAAAGUGAAUACUAGAAAAUACUAAUGGUAAAAUCAGAUGUAGCCCUGUUAAAUCAGGAUAACAAAACGUUGUUGUUUAAAAUUAUAAUUUAUCAAAGACUCUAGUGCCAUGUUGUGGGCUGAAAGCGCGUCGAGUUAAUACAUUUAUCUAAGCUAGAAAAUAGAAACAGCCCAAACAAUGAAAGUGAUUAAUAGAACAGAAGUACUAAUAGCAAAAUCAGAAGUAGCUCUCCCUGACAAAACUAUUAGGAUAAUAAACGUCCCCGUCAGGAUAAGAAAAAUACACAUCAAUGUUGUUUAAAAGGUUGCCCUUUAGAGCAUCCAUCUGUGC